GACGAACGCUGGCGGCGUGCUUAACACAUGCAAGUCGAACGGAAAGGCCCGGCUUUUGUGGGGUGCUCGAGUGGCGAACGGGUGAGUAACACGUGAGUAACCUGUCCUUGACUUUGGGAUAACUUCAGGAAACUGGGGCUAAUACCGGAUAGGAGCUCCUGCAGCAUGGUGGGGGGUGGAAAGUUUCGGCGGUUGGGGAUGGACUCGCGGCUUAUCAGCUUGUUGGUGGGGUAGUGGCUUACCAAGGCUUUGACGGGUAGCCGGCCUGAGAGGGUGACCGGCCACAUUGGGACUGAGAUACGGCCCAGACUCCUACGGGAGGCAGCAGUGGGGAAUAUUGCACAAUGGGCGGAAGCCUGAUGCAGCAACGCCGCGUGCGGGAUGACGGCCUUCGGGUUGUAAACCGCUUUCGCCUGUGACGAAGCGUGAGUGACGGUAAUGGGUAAAGAAGCACCGGCUAACUACGUG
RNAcentral lists this ribosomal RNA (468 nucleotides) under uncultured bacterium. RNAcentral describes it as "partial 16S ribosomal RNA". It matches the Rfam family "Bacterial small subunit ribosomal RNA", at positions 28 to 507 of the family's 1533-position model. The record is from RNAcentral.